UACAGAGGUCUCAAGCGUUGUUCGGAUUCAUUGGGCGUAAAGGGUGCGUAGGCGGCUUCUUAAGUCUGGUGUGAAAUCUCCCGGCUCAACUGGGAGGGUGCGCCGGAUACUGAGGGGCUAGAGUGUGGGAGAGGAAAGUGGAAUUCCUGGUGUAGCGGUGAAAUGCGUAGAUAUCAGGAGGAACACCGGUGGUGUAAACGGCUUUCUGGACCAUAACUGACGCUGAGGCACGAAAGCGUGGGUAGCAAACAGG
This 253-nucleotide ribosomal RNA is filed under the name uncultured bacterium. RNAcentral describes it as "partial 16S ribosomal RNA". It matches the Rfam family "Bacterial small subunit ribosomal RNA", at positions 524 to 776 of the family's 1533-position model. The record is from RNAcentral.